RNAcentral lists this long non-coding RNA (365 nucleotides) under Gossypium raimondii (Peruvian cotton). RNAcentral's name for it is "long non-coding RNA (GRAI_LNC003309)". Lineage: Eukaryota; Viridiplantae; Streptophyta; Magnoliopsida; Malvales; Malvaceae. The record is from RNAcentral.
GUAAAAUUAAUGAAGAGGCAAUGAAAGGCUAAUGAUGAGUGUACAGUGGGGGACGUGAAUUUCAAGGUGGGUUCUUCUUUUGUUUUUCUUCUUCGGAUUUUUCUUCUUCUUUUUUUUUUUUCGAUACUUUUUAAGGAAAAUUAUUUUGUGGGUAAUUCUAAAAUAUUCUUAUUUUUAUUUGGGCCGUUUUACUUUUUUUUAAUUUACUCACUUCAAUUAAGAUAAUUAUUUGAAUUAAUCAUUAUUAUAAAAAUUUCAUUAAUUUAUUUAAUGAAUUACUGAUGUAGCUUUUUUUUUUAAAUUUUGAUUAAAGCUAGGGACUUAUCUAUAAGUAGUUCAAAAUACUUUUUUUUGUUUUUAUUUGC